Molecule: microRNA precursor, 103 nt
Filed under: Marmota monax (woodchuck)
Lineage: Eukaryota; Metazoa; Chordata; Mammalia; Rodentia; Sciuridae
Source: RNAcentral
UAUAGACUUGCUGAGUCAUAUGGUAAGUAUAUUUUUAACUUUUUGAGGAACUGCCCAACUGUUUGAUAAAGUAGCUAUAUCAGUUUACAUUCCCACCAGCAAU